Molecule: ribosomal RNA, 361 nt
Filed under: Topeliopsis acutispora
Lineage: Eukaryota; Fungi; Ascomycota; Lecanoromycetes; Ostropales; Graphidaceae
Description: SSU rRNA
Rfam family: Bacterial small subunit ribosomal RNA
Source: RNAcentral
CCUUCNANGNAAAAACNGNCGUUAAGGGACGAAGGCUUGUUUCCAAAUAACAGGAUUAGAUACCCUAGUAUUUUGAGCAGACAAUGAUGAGUGUCAUAUACAAGUUUUGUGUAUAAAUGAAAGUGUAAGCAUUCCACCUCAAGAGUAACGUGGCAACAUGGGAACUGAAAUCACUAGACCGCUUCUGAAACUCGUAGUGAAGUAUGUUGUUUAAUUUGAUAGUCCUCAAAUAACCUUACCACAAUUUGAAUAUAUGGUACAAGCGUUGCACGGCUGUCUUCAGUCAAUGUUGUGAAACUGUGGUUAGAUCCAUUAAAUUGACGUAAACCCUUACUUUAUUUAUAAUAGAGUAGUACGCCGC